This 417-nucleotide ribosomal RNA is filed under the name uncultured bacterium. RNAcentral's name for it is "bacterial SSU rRNA". It matches the Rfam family "Bacterial small subunit ribosomal RNA", at positions 30 to 448 of the family's 1533-position model. The record is from RNAcentral.
AUUGAACGCUGGCGGCAUGCCUUACACAUGCAAGUCGAACGGUAACGCGGGGCAACCUGGCGACGAGUGGCGAACGGGUGAGUAAUAUAUCGGAACGUGCCCAGUAGUGGGGGAUAGCCCGGCGAAAGCCGGAUUAAUACCGCAUACGACCUACGGGUGAAAGCGGGGGAUCGCAAGACCUCGCGCUAUUGGAGCGGCCGAUAUCAGAUUAGGUAGUUGGUGGGGUAAAGGCCUACCAAGCCUACGAUCUGUAGCUGGUCUGAGAGGACGACCAGCCACACUGGGACUGAGACACGGCCCAGACUCCUACGGGAGGCAGCAGUGGGGAAUUUUGGACAAUGGGCGCAAGCCUGAUCCAGCCAUGCCGCGUGCGGGAAGAAGGCCUUCGGGUUGUAAAGGCUCUUUACCUAGGGAUGA